UCACUGUGGUGUGGUAUUAGCUUCGGAUAUUUCAACAGAAAUCAUGUAUUUUCCAAAUUUUGCUUUGUUAUUUCACUGACUCGGACCUAGUGAAUGUGGAUAGCACCGAUCUAAUAUUAAGAGAAAACACGAGCAGAUUACCAGGUCGUCAGCUCCCGCGAACAAUUUAGCAGUGAAGAGGACAACGCAGAGGUGCGCAGCCACGACAUGGACAGAGCAAGAUACUACUGCCAGAAAAGAUCUUACUUCUUGGUGAGCUUCCAGGGAUACUAUCAUCUCUCAAAGAGGCCCUGGAGUCCAUGAAACGAGGUUCAUUCAGCUCAAGCCCAAGAUCAUCUGAGCUGUGUCUUCCUGAAACCUCAGACAUGAUUUCCCUCGGUGGUUCUGAUGUCCCCAAAAGAGUCUAUGGCAGACUGAACAAGUCACGAACUUCUCUUUUUACUCACGACUUGGCCACUUUACUUUUUGCUAUUGUAUUUCACUUUGUUUGACUUAAAGGAUUAGUUCACUUAAAAAAAACAAACUUUUGCUGAUAACUUACCCACC
This is a non-coding RNA of Pimephales promelas (fathead minnow), 546 nucleotides long. Lineage: Eukaryota; Metazoa; Chordata; Actinopteri; Cypriniformes; Leuciscidae. The record is from RefSeq and is a predicted model, not a curated record.